AUUGAACGCUGGCGGCAUGCUUUACACAUGCAAGUCGGACGGCAGCACAGAGAAGCUUGCUUCUUGGGUGGCGAGUGGCGAACGGGUGAGUAACAUAUCGGAACGUACCGAGUAAUGGGGGAUAACUAAUCGAAAGAUUAGCUAAUACCGCAUAUUCUCUGAGGAGGAAAGCAGGGGACCUUUUGGCCUUGCGUUAUUCGAGCGGCCGAUAUCUGAUUAGCUAGUUGGUGGGGUAAAGGCCUACCAAGGCGACGAUCAGUAGCGGGUCUGAGAGGAUGAUCCGCCACACUGGGACUGAGACACGGCCCAGACUCCUACGGGAGGCAGCAGUGGGGAAUUUUGGACAAUGGGCGCAAGCCUGAUCCAGCCAUGCCGCGUGUCUGAAGAAGGCCUUCGGGUUGUAAAGGACUUUUGUCAGGGAAGAAAAGGCUGUUGCUAAUAUCGACAGCUGAUGACGGUACCUGAAGAAUAAGCACCGGCUAACUACGUGCCAGCAGCCGCGGUAAUACGUAGGGUGCGAGCGUUAAUCGGAAUUACUGGGCGUAAAGCGAGCGCAGACGGUUACUUAAGCAGGAUGUGAAAUCCCCGGGCUCAACCUGGGAACUGCGUUCUGAACUGGGUGACUAGAGUGUGUCAGAGGGAGGUAGAAUUCCCCGUGUAGCAGUGACAUGCGCAGAGAUGUGGAGGAAUACCGAUGGCGAUGGCCGCCUUCUGGGAUACCCGCGACGUUCAUGCGCGCAAGCGCGCGAGCACGAAGAAUCUACAUACCCGGGUAAUCCACGGCGAUAUUCUCACGUGGAAAUCCCAUUCAUCCGUCCCGUCGCCUAAAACGACAAUACACUGCUACUCUUUUUUUUUUUGCUUAUCUGAGGUUUACUUCC
Molecule: ribosomal RNA, 881 nt
Filed under: Neisseria subflava
Lineage: Bacteria; Pseudomonadati; Pseudomonadota; Betaproteobacteria; Neisseriales; Neisseriaceae
Description: bacterial SSU rRNA
Rfam family: Bacterial small subunit ribosomal RNA
Source: RNAcentral